GCAAGUCGAGCGGAUGAGAGGAGCUUGCUCCUCGAUUCAGCGGCGGACGGGUGAGUAAUGCCUAGGAAUCUGCCUAGUAGUGGGGGACAACGUUUCGAAAGGAACGCUAAUACCGCAUACGUCCUACGGGAGAAAGUGGGGGAUCUUCGGACCUCACGCUAUUAGAUGAGCCUAGGUCGGAUUAGCUAGUUGGUAGGGUAAAGGCCUACCAAGGCGACGAUCCGUAACUGGUCUGAGAGGAUGAUCAGUCACACUGGAACUGAGACACGGUCCAGACUCCUACGGGAGGCAGCAGUGGGGAAUAUUGGACAAUGGGCGAAAGCCUGAUCCAGCCAUGCCGCGUGUGUGAAGAAGGCCCUCGGGUCGUAAAGCACUUUAAGUUGGGAGGAAGGGCUUACAGCGAAUACCUGUGAGUUUUGACGUUACCGACAGAAUAAGCACCGGCUAACUUCGUGCCAGCAGCCGCGGUAAUACGAAGGGUGCAAGCGUUAAUCGGAAUUACUGGGCGUAAAGCGCGCGUAGGUGGCUUGAUAAGUUGGAUGUGAAAUCCCCGGGCUCAACCUGGGAACUGCAUCCAAAACUGUCUGGCUAGAGUGCGGUAGAGGGUAGUGGAAUUUCCAGUGUAGCGGUGAAAUGCGUAGAUAUUGGAAGGAACACCAGUGGCGAAGGCGACUACCUGGACUGACACUGACACUGAGGUG
RNAcentral lists this ribosomal RNA (701 nucleotides) under Pseudomonas oryzihabitans. Its description in RNAcentral is "bacterial SSU rRNA". It matches the Rfam family "Bacterial small subunit ribosomal RNA", at positions 57 to 753 of the family's 1533-position model. The record is from RNAcentral. Lineage: Bacteria; Pseudomonadati; Pseudomonadota; Gammaproteobacteria; Pseudomonadales; Pseudomonadaceae.